This 322-nucleotide ribosomal RNA is filed under the name uncultured Allapsidae. RNAcentral's name for it is "SSU rRNA". It matches the Rfam family "Eukaryotic small subunit ribosomal RNA", at positions 634 to 955 of the family's 1831-position model. The record is from RNAcentral. Lineage: Eukaryota; Cercozoa; Glissomonadida; Viridiraptoridae.
GAUUUCUGACUUGGCGCACCUAGCCCGCCACGGUUACGUGUGUGAGUGCCGGGAUGCGCCUGUCACUUUUCUGGUAAACUAUUGUGCUCUUCAUUGAGUGUGAUAGGUAGCCAGAUAUUUUACUUUGAAAAAAUUAGAGUGUUUCAAGCAGGCGUUUUGCUAUGAAUACAUUAGCAUGGAAUAAUGAGUUAGGACUUCGGUUCUAUUUUGUUGGUUUCUAGGACUGAAGUAAUGAUUGAUAGGGAUAGUUGGGGGUGCUAGUAUUCAGUGGCCAGAGGUGAAAUUCUUGGAUUCACUGAAGACUAACUUAUGCGAAAGCAUU